Molecule: long non-coding RNA, 3847 nt
Organism: Oncorhynchus tshawytscha (Chinook salmon)
Lineage: Eukaryota; Metazoa; Chordata; Actinopteri; Salmoniformes; Salmonidae
Source: Ensembl
CUAAACCUUUUUUUUGUUAAGGAAUCUAAAAGUAUGAUAUUAAAAGUGUUGAAAAAUAAAGUAAAACAGUAUUUACCGCUGUAGACACAGUAUUUGCUAAUUCUUUGAACUCUGGUGAAGAAACAUUAUUCAAAUCUGCUGUGAAGUUUUGCUCCAAUUUGAACUCCAACUUCACCUCUGGUGGUGGAGGGGCCGGUGUUGUGGUAGUGGUUGAAUAACCUGUUGUAACUGUGGUCAGAGCAGAUGUUGUUGUUCUUGGAGCAGCUGUGGUUGUUGUGGCAGCAGCUGUGGUGGUUUUGGGAGCAGCUGUGGUUGUUGCUGGAGCAGAAGUGCUUGUUGUGGCAGCAUAUGUUGUUGUUGCUUGAGAGGCUGUGGUUGUUGCUGGAGCAGCUGUGCUUGUUGUGGGAGCAUAAGUGGUUGUUGUGGGAGCAUAUGUUGUUGUUGCUGGAGCAGCUGUGGUUGUUGUGGGAGCAGAAGUGGUUGAUGUGGGAGCAUAUGUUGUUGUUGCUGGAGCAGCUGUGUUUGUUUGUGUGUUUGCUGUUGAAGCAGGUGUGGUUAAUGUGGGAACACCUGAGGAUGUUGUGUAAAUAGCUGUUGUUGUUGUGGGAUUAGCUGUGGUUGUUGAUGGAGCAGCUGUGGUUGUUGUGGGAGUAGCUGUGGUUGUCAUUGGAGUAUCUGUGGUUGUUGUAGCCUCAGUUGUAGUUGUCUUUGGAGCUGCUGUGGUUGUUGUGCGAGCAGUUGUGGUUGUUGUUGUAGAUGGUGUCGUUGAUGUGGGAGCAUCUGUGGUUGUUGUAGCCCCAAUUGUAGUUGUCGUUGGAGCUUGUAUGGUGGUUGUGGGAGAAGCUGUGGUUGUUGUUGGAGCAGAUGUGGUUGUUUUUGGAACAUCUGGAGUUGUUGUCGUAGCAGCUGUGGUUUGUGUGGGAACAGCUGUGGUUGUUGUGGGAGCAGCGGUGGUUGUUGUGGGAGCAGCUGUGGUUGUUGUGGGAGCAACUGUGGUUGUUGUGGGAACACCUGAGAAUGUUGUGUAAGUAGCUGUCGUUGUUGUAGGAAUAGCUGUGGUUGUUAUGGGAGCAGGUGGGGUUGUUGUUGGAUAUGCUAUGGUUGUUGUGGGUGCAUCUGUGGUUGUUGUGGGAGAUUCUGUGGUUUUUGAUGGAGCAGAUGUCGUUGCUGUUGGAACACCUGAGGAUGUUGUGUAAGUAGCUGUCAUUGUUGUGGGAUUAGCUGUGGUUGUUGUUGGAGCAGCUGUGGUUGUUGUGAGAGCAGCUGUGGUUGUUGUGGGAGCAGAUGUGGUUGUUGUGAGAGCAGCUGUGGUUGUGGGAGCAGCUGUGCUUGUUGUGGGAGCAGCUGUGGUUGCUGUGGGAGAUUCUGUGGUUUUUGAAGUCGUGACUGUGGUUGUUGUGGGAGAUUCUGUGGUUGUUGUUGGAGCAGCUGUGGUUGUUGUGGGAGGAGCAGUGGUUGUUGUGGGAGAUGCUGUGUUUGUUGUGGGAGAGGCUGCUGUUGUUGGGAUAGCAGCUGUCGUUGAUAUGGAGGCAGCUGUGAUGGUCAUUUGAGCAGCUAUGGUUGUUGUUGGAACAUUUGGAGUUUUUGUCAGAGCAGGUGGCGUUGUUGUGGGUAUAGCUGUUGUUGUUGUGGCAGCAACUGUGGUUGUUGUGGGAGAUUCUGUGGUUGCUGUGGAAGAAUAUGUGGGGAAGGAUGUGGUUGUUGUGCGAGCAGCUGUGGUUGUUGUUGGAGAAGGUGUGGUUGAUGUGGGAGCAGUUUUGGUUGUUGUUGGAGUAUCUGUGGUUGUUGUAGCCCCAAUUGUAGUUGUCGUUGGAGCUUGUAUGGUUGUUGUGGGAGAAGCUGUGGUUGUUGUUUGAACAUCUUGGGUUGUUGUCGUAGCAGCUGUGGUUGUUCUGGGAACAGCUGUGGUUGUUGUUGGAGCAGCUGUGGUUGUUGUGGGAACAGCUCUGGUUGUUGUGGCAGCGACUGUGGUUGUUGUGGGAGCAGCUGUGGUUGUUGUGGGAGCAGCUGUGGUUGUUGUGGGAACACCUGAUGAUGUUGUGUAAGUAGCUGUCGUGGUUGUGGGAUUAGCUGUGGUUGUUGUUGGAGCAGCUGUGGUUGUUGUGGGAGCAGCUGUGGUUGUUGUGAGAGUAGCUGUGGUUGUUGUGGGAGCAGCUGUGGUUGUUGUGGGAGCAGCUGUGGUUGUUGUGGGAGCAGCUGUGGUUGUUUUGGGAGCAUAUGUGGUUGUUGUGGGAGCCGCUGUGUUUGUUGUGGGAGCAUCUGUGGUUGUUGUAGCCCCAAAUGUAGUUGUCGUUGGAGCUUGUAUGUUGGUUGUGGGCAAAGCUGUGGUUGUUUUCGGAGCAGAUGUGGUUGUUUUUGGAACAUCUGGAGUUGUUGUCGUAGCAGCUGUGGUUUGUGUGGGAACAGCUGUGGUUGUUGUGGGAGCAGCUGUGGUUGUUGUGGGAUCAGCUGUGGUUGUUGUGGGAGCCGCUGUGUUUGCUGUGAGAGCAGCUGUGGUUGUUGUGGGAGCAGAUGUGGUAGUUGUGAGAGCAGCUGUAGUUGUUGUGGGAGCAGCUGUGGUUGUUGUUGGAGCAGCUGUGGUUGCUGUGGGAGAUUCUGUGGUUUUUGAAGUCGUGACUCUGGUUGUUGUGGGAGAUUCUGUGGUUGUUGUGGCAGCAACUGUGGUUGUUGUGGGAGAUUCUGUGGUUGUUGUGGGAGCAGAUGUGGGUCCUGUGGGGAAGGAUGUGGUUGUUGUGCGAGCAGCUGUGGUUGUUGUUGGAGAAGGUGUGGUUGAUGUGGGAGCAGAUUUUGUUGUUGUUGGAGUAUCUGUGGUUGUUGUAGCCCCAAUUGUAGUUGUCGUUGGAUCUUGUAUGGUUGUUGUGGGAGAAGCUGUGGUUGUUGUUUGAACAUCUUGGGUUGUUGUCGUAGCAGCUAUGGUUGUUCUGGGAACAGCUGUGGUUGUUUUUGGAGCAGCUGUGGUUGUUGUGGGAGCAGCUGUGGUUGUUGUGGGAGUCACUGUGUUUGUUGUGGGAGCAGCUGUGGUUGUUGUGGGAGCAACUGUGGUUGUUGUGGGAACACCUGAUGAUAAAGUGUAAGUGGCUGUCGUGGUUGUGGGAUUAGCUGUGGUUCUUGUUGGAGCAGCUGUGGUUGUUGUGGGAGCAGCUGUGGUUGUUGUGAGAGUAGCUGUGGUUGUUGUGAGAGUAGCUGUGGUUGCUGUAAGAGCAGCUGUGGUUGUUAUGGGAGCAGCUGGUGUUAUUGUUGGAUUAGCUGUGUUUGUUGUGGGAGCAGCUGUGGUUGUUUUGGGAGCAUAUGUGGUUGUUGUGGGAGCCGCUGUGUUUGUUGUCGGAGAAGCUGUGGUUGUUGGGAGAGCAGAUGUGGUUAUUGUGGAAGAUUCUGUGGUUGCUGUUGAAGCAGCUGUGGUUGCUGUGGGAGCGGUUGUGUUUGUUGUGGGAGCAACUGUGGUUGUUGCGGGAACAAAUGAGGCUGUUGUGAGAGUAGCUGUGGUUGUUGUGGGAGCAGCUGUGGUUGUUUUGGGAGCAUCUGUGGUUGUUGUGGGAGCCGGUGUGUUUGUUGUGGGAGAAGCUGUGGUUGUUGGCGGAGCAGCUGUAGUUGUUGUGGAAUAUUCUGUGGUUGCUGUUGAAGCAGCUGUGGUUGCUUUGGGAGCAGAUGUGGGUGUUGUGGGGAAGGAUGUGGUUGUUUUGGGAGCAGCUGUGGUUGUUGUUGGAGAAGGUGUGGUUGAUGUGGGAGCAGCUGUGGUUGUUGUUGGAGUAUCUGUGGUUGUUGUAGCCCCAAUUGUAGUUGUCGUUGGAUCUUGUAUGGUUGUUGUGGGAGAAGCUGUGGUUGUUGUUUGAACAUCUGUGGUUGUUGU